CCUACGGGAGGCAGCAGUGAGGAAUAUUGGUCAAUGGACGAGAGUCUGAACCAGCCAAGUAGCGUGAAGGAUGACUGCCCUAUGAGUUGUAAACUUCUUUUAUAUGGGAGUAAAAUGUUCCACGUGUGGGAUUUUGUAUGUACCAUAUGAAUAAGGAUCGGCUAACUCCGUGCCAGCAGCCGCGGUAAUACGGAGGAUCCGAGCGUUAUCCGGAUUUAUUGGGUUUAAAGGGAGCGUAGGUGGAUUGUUAAGUCAGUUGUGAAAGUUUGCGGCUCAACCGUAAAAUUGCAGUUGAAACUGGCAGUCUUGAGUACAGUAGAGGUGGGCGGAAUUCGUGGUGUAGCGGUGAAAUGCUUAGAUAUCACGAAGAACUCCGAUUGCGAAGGCAGCUUACUGGACUGCAACUGACACUGAGGCUCGAAAGUGUGGGUAUCAAACAGGAUUAGAUACCCUAGUAGUC
RNAcentral lists this ribosomal RNA (460 nucleotides) under uncultured bacterium. RNAcentral's name for it is "partial 16S ribosomal RNA". It matches the Rfam family "Bacterial small subunit ribosomal RNA", at positions 338 to 795 of the family's 1533-position model. The record is from RNAcentral.